UCUCCGUUGGUGAACCAGCGGAGGGAUCAUUACAGGACUCGCAAGACUCCUACAACCCUGUGAACUUAACUAUAAGCACGUUGCUUCGGCGGGUGUCUCGGAGGGGGUUCUCCCUCCCCGAGACGCUAAACCCGCCGGCAGCCUACUAUACUCUGUCUCUUUGCGUUGGCAUCUCGAGUACAAUCAAACAAGUUGAAACUUUCAACAACGGAUCUCUUGGUUCUG
RNAcentral lists this unclassified non-coding RNA (225 nucleotides) under plant metagenome. RNAcentral's name for it is "partial contains small subunit ribosomal RNA, internal transcribed spacer 1, and 5.8S ribosomal RNA". The record is from RNAcentral.